AUACAUGAGCAAAAUCUCAACUUUAUUAGAAGAGACGCAUUUAUUAGAUAAAAAGCCAAUGCAUGCUUUUACAGUAUGAAAGUUGGUGAUUUAUAAUAGCUUAGCAAAUCGCAUAGUGAAAACAGGCGAUAAAUCAUUCAAGUUUCUGACCUAUCAGCUUUCGACGGUAUGGUAUUGGCUUACCGUGGCAGUGACGGUUAACGGGGGAUUAGGGUUCGAUUCCGGAGAGGGAGCCUGAGAAACGGCUACCACAUCUAAGGAAGGCAGCAGGCGCGCAAAUUACCCAAUUCUAACAGUUUGAGAGAGGUAGUAACAAGAAAUAACAAUACAAGGCAGUUAAAAUGCUUUGUAAUUGGAAUGAUAGAAAUUUAAACCCUUUUUAAAGUAUCAAUUGGAGGGCAAGUCUGGUGCCAGCAGCCGCGGUAAUUCCAGCUCCAAUAGCGUAUAUUAAAAUUGUUGCAGUUAAAAAGCUCGUAGUUGAAGUUCUGCCAAAAGUAACCGGUCUGCUUUGAAUAAAAGUGGUAUCUUGGUAUGUAUUUAGCAAUGAUGUCCUUUGAAGUGUUUUUUACUUUAUUGUAAUAAAGCAUAUUCAGGACUUUUACUUUGAGAAAAUUAGAGUGUUUCUAGCAGGCCAACGCUUUGAAUACUGCAGCAUGGAAUAAUAAG
Molecule: ribosomal RNA, 666 nt
Filed under: Hepatozoon canis
Lineage: Eukaryota; Apicomplexa; Hepatozoidae
Description: SSU rRNA
Rfam family: Eukaryotic small subunit ribosomal RNA
Source: RNAcentral